UCAAGUUUUGAAAUUAAAAAGUUUCUUACUUCUACUCUCAUCUUGCUCAGGCUUUCCUCAUUCUUAGAUUCUUCUUCUGUUGCUGUUCUUGCUGCUGCUUUGCGUUCUUCUAUUUCUUCUGUGAGGAGGUUUUGUUCCAUGAUCUGCAUGAGCCUUUCAAGAAGAACAUUGAUGGGCUUCAAGUCGCAAUGAAUUAUUGGAUUUUACAUUGCUCAUGAAGAUAUUGUAAAGCAGCCGCCACAUCAACCGCAACAUUUAAUCUCUUAAGCAGGUUUGAAUUUGUUGUUUGAUUUUUGCCAUCUAUAUCAGGAUGAAACCACUUCUCGAAGCUACCAUUUCCCAUGAUUUUUUUUUUUUUUUCAUUUUGUACUCAUCCGAUUUUUUUUGCAAAUUUUUUAUUUUGUUAAUUGGGUAAUAUUGAAACUUAUUUUCUUGAUGAGAUAAUAGGUUGCUUGUUAUUGAUUUAAUUGAUUGCUAGAAUUGAGAAUGACAAUUUUUUAUAGAAAUUAAGCAAAAAAUUCAAAUUUUUUAGAGGUGAUGUGCUCUGUUCUGCCUUGCACCAAAACUGAACUAUUGAACCGAAUUAUUAAUCUGGUUCGGUUCUUUAAUAAAAUCGGUUUCCCCUGUUUUCGUUUUUUUGAAAGCCAAAAGCUGCAAUCAGGUGUAAAGAGCAUUCUGAUGAAAAGCACUGAAAAGGUUUGAAGAUCGAAGCAAUUAUCUGCUACGGAACUAUAAAGUACAAGAUUGACAAUAAAGAGAGAUCAGAUGGAAUUUUGCGGGAUGGGGAAAGUGAUGCACCAAGGAUCCUAGCAAAUCCACUGGGGACUUCCAUUCAUCUCCUGGCAAACAACACAAGAAUGUUACCCAUCUAAUGUGAUUUUCAAAAUUAAAUAAAUGUAUAUGAUGUUUAGUACUA
Hevea brasiliensis (rubber tree) is the source of this 916-nucleotide long non-coding RNA. RefSeq lists it as uncharacterized. NCBI's taxonomy places the organism in Eukaryota, Viridiplantae, Streptophyta, Magnoliopsida, Malpighiales, Euphorbiaceae. The transcript has 2 exons. The record is from RefSeq and is a predicted model, not a curated record.